GCACUCCUCGACUUUGGGAAAAAUAAAGAGAGUAGCCUGAAAUGCUAGUCGGUCGAGUUCUCUCCGGAGGACUCGGUUGGCAACACCGUCAAAUUGCGGGAACCCCCUAAAGACUACGCUACCAAGCAGCGCUGGGAAACCACGCUGUGGCCAGGGUAAUGACCUCGGGUAUGGUAACAACGCGUAGUAUGACCCUCUGGUCUUCAGAAGGGAAAUGGGCAAUCCGCAGCCAAGUCCUCACCACCCCUCGCGGGGUGAUGGAUGCUGUUCACAGGCCAAAUGGUGGUGGGUCGAUUUUUAACCAAAGAUCGGCUUAAGAUAUGGUCGGGCCCCUGGGGAAACCCAGGGGGUAGUCACCGCGCAGUCAAACGGAGGCGGGAGCGACAAAGUGUCAAGCUCUUCGUCAUGGGCGACUGUGUGCCGCUGGAGGGACUUGUCCCUCGCUGCGGCUGCUGUAAAAAGCAAAAGUAACAAGAAACUGUUCCGUAGGUGAACCUGCGGAAGGAUCAUUACCGAGUUAGGGUCCUCUGGGCCCGAUCUCCCAACCCUUUGUUUAUUAUACCUUUUGUUGCUUCGGCGGGCCCGUUGUCUCACGACGACCGCCGGAGGACCGCUUAACGGCGUCCUCUGGUCCGCGCCCGCCGAUGGCCCCAAAAUCUCAAAAUUCUUGUAUGAAUCGUGUCUUUACCUAAGUCUUGAUUUAAUCAAAAACAAAACUUUCAACAACGGAUCUCUUGGUUCUGGCAUCGAUGAAGAACGCAGCGAAAUGCGAUAAGUAAUGCGAAUUGCAGAAUUCCAGUGAGUCAUCGAAUCUUUGAACGCACAUUGCGCCCUUUGGUAUUCCGAAGGGCAUGCCUGUUCGAGCGUCAUUAUCACCCCUCGAGCCCCCGGGCUUGGUGUUGGACGGCUUGGUUACGCUCCCCGCGUGACCCCUCCUAAAGACAAUGACGGCGGCCUCGUGGAGCCCCCGGUACACUGAGCUUCUUAACUGAGCACGUAUCGGAUCUAGGGCGCCCAGGCUCCGGUCCUCUCCCCUUUGUGGGG
Molecule: ribosomal RNA, 1044 nt
Filed under: Exophiala alcalophila
Lineage: Eukaryota; Fungi; Ascomycota; Eurotiomycetes; Chaetothyriales; Herpotrichiellaceae
Description: eukaryotic LSU rRNA
Rfam family: 5.8S ribosomal RNA (bases 715-869)
Source: RNAcentral